This 308-nucleotide long non-coding RNA is filed under the name Homo sapiens (human). RNAcentral describes it as "non-protein coding lnc-SPANXN5-2:3". Lineage: Eukaryota; Metazoa; Chordata; Mammalia; Primates; Hominidae. The record is from RNAcentral.
AUAAUUUGGCGAGGAAGAUCAACAUGUAGGCCUAGACCAAGACGAAGUUUACAACCUCCUGAGCUGAUUGGGAGUAUGCUGGAGCCCAGUGAUGAGGAGCCUCGAGAGGAACCACCAACUGAAAGUCGGGAUCCUACACCUGGUCAGAAGAGGGAAGAUCAGGGUGCAGCUGAUAUUCAAGUGCCUGACCUGGAAGCUGAUCUCCAGAGCUGUCUCAGUCAAAGACUGGGGAUGAAUGCGGAGAUGGUCCUGAUGUUCAGGGGACAAUUCUGCCAAAAUCAGAGCAAUUUAAAAUGCCAGAAGGAGGU